GCAGACUCACUCUGUCCUCUGCUGCACAUUCCAGCCUGGGACUUUUUCUGUCUGCUACAUUAACACGCAGAAUGUUACACUUGACUGGCUUUCUGAAAAAGCUGGUGUCACUAUGUUCUGCCACAUUAGU
Scatophagus argus is the source of this 130-nucleotide small nucleolar RNA. RefSeq annotates it as small nucleolar RNA SNORA77. NCBI's taxonomy places the organism in Eukaryota, Metazoa, Chordata, Actinopteri, Scatophagidae. The transcript has a single exon. The record is from RefSeq and is a predicted model, not a curated record.